GAGAAAAUAUAAUUUUUAUAUUCAUGUGAGAGAGAACUUUUUCCAAAAAGGGAAAUGUGACAUCUUUUGUGGGACAAACUAAAAAGGAAAGUGUGCCAACUUCUCUGGGACGGAGGGAGUACUAUACUCUAUAUAUGAACUAAUUUUCCCAUCCUGUUAUUUUACAUUCUAGUGGACACCGUUUAGUAGAGGGAGAAAUGCUUUUACAUUUAAGCUUACAUUUAAACUGGUGUGUAGUGAUUUUGUUCAUCAAACUUAUGAGAAUCCACCCCAGCAUUUAUUCUUUCAUUUCUUAGUCGUAGGAAAAAUAUAUAUUCUCCAUUAUCCUUCUACUUACUUUUAGAGUUACUUUAUUCCUUAUUUCUCCAUUAUGUUCUAUCUAUUUACUCGCUAUCAGCAUUUCUGAAGUUGAUAUUUACAGUGUGUAAAAGGUAAGAAUAUGUUUGAUUAGACUUGCAGAAUAUUUGGUUUAAAAAUUGUAAAUGUGCUUUUUGAAAUAGGAUCUUGAACUCCUUGACCUUUAUGUAUUAAUUGUAAUAUUCAUCCAGCUAUGAGAUAUCCAGAACUUAAUGGCAGCCAAAUUCAGAAAAAGACUCUGAUUCUAAUGAUAAUAGGAGAUUAUUUAGUCACUCCUUGAUUUCUUCUCUUUUGUGAAUAUCCACUGUGCAGAUAUUUUAUACGACUCCUGGUCCCCGGCUAUGACUGUAAGUUCGAUUUGCAUCAGCAUUCUAUCUAUGCUGUCAAGCUCCACCGCGAAGCAACGCCCAGCCGACAAUGACCGCUAUGUGAAGAAUUGUAAGAAUGGCAGAUCUCCGAAGGAGACGAGAUGGUGGUUUCACGAUGAUAAAGUGUGAAUGCAGAUAAACAUGUAACUCAUUCUCACUCUAUCCUACAUAGGUCGGCUGAAAAUUGAAACAUGUAACUCAUUGUCACUCUAUCCUAAACUGCUCUAUCAUACAUUUCUGUAGCAUGUUGAUCUAUUGGUAUAUAUAAAUGUAUGUUAUGUUGUAUUCAA
Non-coding RNA from Salvia hispanica, 1015 nucleotides. The record is from RefSeq and is a predicted model, not a curated record. NCBI's taxonomy places the organism in Eukaryota, Viridiplantae, Streptophyta, Magnoliopsida, Lamiales, Lamiaceae.